RNAcentral lists this ribosomal RNA (427 nucleotides) under uncultured bacterium. RNAcentral's name for it is "partial 16S ribosomal RNA". It matches the Rfam family "Bacterial small subunit ribosomal RNA", at positions 355 to 774 of the family's 1533-position model. The record is from RNAcentral.
UGGGGAAUAUUGGACAAUGGGCGAAAGCCUGAUCCAGCCAUGCCGCGUGUGUGAAGAAGGUCUUCGGAUUGUAAAGCACUUUAAGUUGGGAGGAAGGGCAGUAAGUUAAUACAUUGCUGCUUUGACGUUACCGACAGAAUAAGCACCGGCUAACUCUGUGCCAGCAGCCGCGGUAAUACAGAGGGUGCAAGCGUUAAUAGGAAUUACUGGGCGUAAAGCGCGCGUAGGUGGUUUGUUAAGUUGGAUGUGAAAGCCCCGGGCUCAACCUGGGAACUGCAUCCAAAACUGGCAAGCUAGAGUACGGUAGAGGGUGGUGGAAUUUCCUGUGUAGCGGUGAAAUGCGUAGAUAUAGGAAGGAACACCAGUGGCGAAGGCGACCACCUGGACUGAUACUGACACUGAGGUGCGAAAGCGUGGGGAGCAAACA